CAGGUGACCGAUUCAAGUCCUGUCCUGACUUCCGUUUACAACACCGGUACACACACCUGGCUAACAGGACAGACAAAAGAUCCGUUCGCUUGGUCCCAAAUUCGAACUGAAAUACUGCCAUUGACUAAAACCUACGCUGACUACACUUCACCGACGGUGUUAUAACGCAAGGUAGGACGAAGAUACCAAGAAAGACAUUGUCGGCUGUCAACAGUAAAGACUUUCCUCCGCUCAAGACUGCUAGCCCGUAUGCUAACGCGGAAAACAAGUUAGCUUUCCACAGCUAGCUAAGCUGCUAGCCCUAUGGAGGAUACAUCAAAGUUGGCCACAGAGACUGAACCUUCCCUCGGUGAUGUUUUAACCACCAUAAGGAACCUGGACAACAAGAUGAAUCCAUUCCACAAGCAAGAAAGCAUUUCAGGACAGAGCCCAUGAGGACCUCCAUUACCCGCAUGGCACAGCGGAUGGACACAUUUGAGGAAAAGAUGGAUGAGCUGCUCAUGCUCUUAAGGAGCUCCCAGUCACCUCCCUCUGCUCCAGUCGAUGAUGUGUUGCUGUCGCCCUGCUCAACAGUCAUCGAGCUGCAGGAGUUCAACAGGAGAGGAGGAACAAAAUGCAACUUUUUCUGACAACCUUUCAACCAAUGACGUUGUAAAACCGUAUAGCCUGCAGGGCAGAAAGACAAAGGCCUUCUAGGACCUGACAAUCUGCAGGGUUAUAACAGGCAGGUGUUAUUUUAUUGUUCACAUCAGUAUUAUGCGAAGCUUGGCUGAUAAGGGGUUUUAAUUUGACUUGUAACUUUGCUUCUUCUUGCUACUCUUGCGGCCUCUCAGAAAAAUGUCCCCGUGCUGACUGCAGCAGACGUGGAGGACCCCCCAGUGCUCCCCCUCACAAUAUCCAACAGCCUAGUGUCAAAGGUCGACUCAUUCAAGUUUCUGGGCUCCAUCAUUUCCCAGGACCUGAAGAGGGAGUCCAACAUCCUUAAAAAGGCUCUGCAGAGGAUGUACUUCCUACGGCAACUGCGGAAGCAUGGCCUACCACAAGAGCUGUUGGCCAUCUUCUACACUGCUGCCAUCCUCCUGCCUCCUCCCCUCUGGCAGGCGCUACA
Long non-coding RNA from Perca fluviatilis (European perch), 1108 nucleotides. RefSeq lists it as uncharacterized. NCBI's taxonomy places the organism in Eukaryota, Metazoa, Chordata, Actinopteri, Perciformes, Percidae. The record is from RefSeq and is a predicted model, not a curated record. The transcript is spliced from 4 exons.